Molecule: non-coding RNA, 28 nt
Filed under: Homo sapiens (human)
Lineage: Eukaryota; Metazoa; Chordata; Mammalia; Primates; Hominidae
Source: RNAcentral
UCUGAAGCAGCCGCAUGAUCUGCUGUGC